This 319-nucleotide ribosomal RNA is filed under the name uncultured bacterium. RNAcentral describes it as "bacterial SSU rRNA". It matches the Rfam family "Bacterial small subunit ribosomal RNA", at positions 28 to 334 of the family's 1533-position model. The record is from RNAcentral.
GAUGAACGCGUGGCGGCGUGCCUAACACAUGCAAGUCGAACGAAGCGACCUUGAUUUCGUUCGGAUUGAUUGGUGACUGAGUGGCGGACGGGUGAGUAACGCGUGGGUAACCUGCCUCAUACAGGGGGAUAACAGUUAGAAAUGGCUGCUAAUACCGCAUAAGCGCACAGUAUCGCAUGAUGCAGUGUGAAAAACUCCGGUGGUAUGAGAUGGACCCGCGUCUGAUUAGCUAGUUGGUAAGGUAACGGCUUACCAAGGCGAUGAUGCAUAGCCGAGUUGAGAGACUGAUCGGCCACAAUGGAACUGAGACACGGUCCAU